GUCUGUGAGAUCAUGGAGGACAUGGAUCCCAUUGCCUCAAUAAUAGCACUAGACACUGAGCGUUGUAGCUCCAGGGCCUGUGCACUAAUAGCUGGUAAGCUGGGGUCCCCAGUGGAUGGGGGGGGGAUUAGGCCCAGAGGGAGAGCGGUCAGAAGACAUGUUAGGAGGUUAUUUA
Molecule: long non-coding RNA, 175 nt
Organism: Bufo bufo (common toad)
Lineage: Eukaryota; Metazoa; Chordata; Amphibia; Anura; Bufonidae
Exons: 3
Source: RefSeq, a predicted model, not a curated record